RNAcentral lists this ribosomal RNA (405 nucleotides) under uncultured bacterium. Its description in RNAcentral is "partial 16S ribosomal RNA". It matches the Rfam family "Bacterial small subunit ribosomal RNA", at positions 30 to 526 of the family's 1533-position model. The record is from RNAcentral.
AUUGAACGCUGGCGGCAGGCUUAACACAUGCAAGUCGAGCGAGCGGCGUACGUGUGAGUAAUGUCUGGGAAACUGCCUGAGGGAGGGGGUUAACUACUGGAAACGGUAGCUAAUACCGUAUACUGACGGAUGGGAUUGCGCCUGAUUAGCUAGUUGGAGGGGUAACGGCUCACCAAGGCGAUGAUCAGUAGCCGGUCGGAGAGGAUGAGCAGUCACAUUGGGACUGAGACACGGCCCAGACUCCUACGGGAGGCAGCAGUAGGGAAUCUUGGGCAAUGGGGGGAACCCUGACCGAGCAACGCCGCGUGUGUGAAGAAGGGUUCGGGUUGUAAAGCACUUUCAGCGAGGAGGCGUUACUCGCAGAAGAAGCACCGGCUAACUCCGUGCCAGCAGCCGCGGUAAUUC